CUAGCACUUUCAUAGGUCCUCCCUCAGACUCUGGGGCCAGGAUUUGGUAGCUGUUGCUGAGAGAAAAUCCUUGCCUUGGGACUGUGCCAGGGGCAGCUGUCACUCUA
Molecule: small nucleolar RNA, 107 nt
Filed under: Otolemur garnettii (small-eared galago)
Lineage: Eukaryota; Metazoa; Chordata; Mammalia; Primates; Galagidae
Description: Small nucleolar RNA SNORA30/SNORA37 family (ENSOGAG00000022697.1)
Source: RNAcentral